This 29-nucleotide non-coding RNA is filed under the name Homo sapiens (human). Lineage: Eukaryota; Metazoa; Chordata; Mammalia; Primates; Hominidae. The record is from RNAcentral.
UGAACUCUAAGAGAUAGUUUUAGGCAGUC